This 253-nucleotide ribosomal RNA is filed under the name uncultured bacterium. Its description in RNAcentral is "partial 16S ribosomal RNA". It matches the Rfam family "Bacterial small subunit ribosomal RNA", at positions 524 to 776 of the family's 1533-position model. The record is from RNAcentral.
UACGGGGGGGGCAAGCGUUGUUCGGAAUUACUGGGCGUAAAGGGCUCGUAGGCGGCCAACUAAGUCAGACGUGAAAUCCCUCGGCUUAACCGGGGAACUGCGUCUGAUACUGGAUGGCUUGAGGUUGGGAGAGGGAUACGGAAUUCCUGGUGUAGCAGUGAAAUGCGUAGAUAUCAGGAGGAAUACCGAUGGCGAAGGCAGGUCUCUGGGCUGACACUGACGCUCAUGCACGAAAGCGUGGGGAGCAAACAGG